AAAUAGAAGUAUAAAAAUAAAAGAAAAAAAGAAACAAAAUAAAAUAGAAAAAAGAAGGACAAAACAAAAAUAGAAAACGAAAAAAAAGAUAUGAGAAAAAAAAAGAAAACUAAAAAGAAAAAAAAGAGAAAUAGAAGAGAGAAAAUAAAGUGGAAAGAAAAAAUGAAAAAGAAAAAUAAAUCAAAAUAAAAAAAUAAAAUGAUAAAAGAUAAGAUGAAAAAAAACUAAUAAGAAAAAAAAG
RNAcentral lists this long non-coding RNA (241 nucleotides) under Capsicum annuum. RNAcentral describes it as "long non-coding RNA (CANN_LNC005294)". Lineage: Eukaryota; Viridiplantae; Streptophyta; Magnoliopsida; Solanales; Solanaceae. The record is from RNAcentral.